UACGGGGGGCGCAAGCGUUGUUCGGAUUUACUGGGCGUAAAGGGCGCGUAGGCGGCGCAACAAGUCACUUGUGAAAUCUCCGGGCUUAACCCGGAGCGGUCAAGUGAUACUGUCGUGCUAGAGUGCGGAAGGGGCUACUGGAAUUCUCGGUGUAGCGGUGAAAUGCGUAGAUAUCGAGAGGAACACCUGCGGCGAAGGCGGGUAGCUGGGCCGACACUGACGCUGAUGCGCGAAAGCCAGGGGAGCGAACGGG
Molecule: ribosomal RNA, 253 nt
Filed under: uncultured bacterium
Lineage: Bacteria
Description: partial 16S ribosomal RNA
Rfam family: Bacterial small subunit ribosomal RNA
Source: RNAcentral